Larimichthys crocea (large yellow croaker) is the source of this 216-nucleotide small nucleolar RNA. Its record names the gene U3. It matches the Rfam family "Small nucleolar RNA U3". From Rfam's summary of the family: Small nucleolar RNAs (snoRNAs) are involved in the processing and modification of rRNA in the nucleolus. There are two main classes of snoRNAs: the box C/D class, and the box H/ACA class. The record is from Ensembl. Lineage: Eukaryota; Metazoa; Chordata; Actinopteri; Sciaenidae.
AAGACUAUACUUUCAGGGAUCAUUUCUAUAGUUUCUAACUUGAGAAAUGUGUUUCUAAAGUGUUUGGUCUCGCCAACCACGAUGAAGAGUCAGUGAUACUCCUUCCUGAGCGCGAAGCGGGCGCAGAGACUUGAUUCAGUUCUUAUGCUCUGUGCUUUUGAUGACCGUUCACUGUCUCCUCGGGGACACUGAGGGAAGGAGUAUGAUCAGAGUGGU